Sus scrofa (pig) is the source of this 114-nucleotide non-coding RNA. The record is from Rfam. NCBI's taxonomy places the organism in Eukaryota, Metazoa, Chordata, Mammalia, Artiodactyla, Suidae.
GUGGGCUAUGGGGACAUGAAGCCCAUCACUGUGGGGGGCAAGAUUGUAGGGUCUCUGUGUGCCAUUGCAGGUGUCUUAACCAUUGCUUUGCCAGUGCCAGUGAUUGUCUCUAAC